AUAAAUAAUGAACGCUAGGUAUCCUACGGCGGUAAAUCCCGUAAAAUCAAGCGUACAUUGUGACUGAAAGUUUAAAAACUUACACAAUUCGCGAAUCUUCGUUUCGACUAAAAACAAUUGUUAUCGUUUUAUCAUAUCUAGAGUUAUUUACUUUAAAUAAUCUCGUUGUCGUUUGCAGUCGAAUAAAAUAAUGUCAAGAUAUGUGUCACAUACUCUAUAAUAAUAUAGACGUUUGGAUUUAGCAAUAGGUGUUGGUGACCGUGCUAGUGUAACUGCAAAUAGACUUGAAGGUGGUCAAUCUAAAUAUAUGCUACCUACAUUUAAAUUUGGGGGCUCGUUUAAAAAAAAAAAACAAUUAUUUUAUACUUUAAAAGUUUAAAGAUAUUAUGAUGAAAUAAAGAAUUUGUAGAAUUUCAUUUUAAAAAUGUUUAUAUUGUAAGUUAGGUAAUCUUGUCAUGCUAUUAAUAAAAUAUCUUAUAAUGUUUACAACAAUCGUAAGUGAUUUGAUAACGUUCCAUGUUAUAUUUAUAGGUACAUUGUUUCCAGCGAGCUAUUUUCAAUUUAUUUUUAUCUCUUAGUCUUAUUUUUUUCUCUUAGUCUACAAAGUGUGAGUAAUAUUUGUAUAACCUUUUACCCCUAUUUUAACAUUCAUGCAGGAUGAUUUUUGAAAGCUCGCUCUGAGCUCUCCUGUUGCAAAAGGGUAGUCCUUUUACUCGAAUUUAUGCUUUUACCGUUUCAAAUUCAGUAGCUCAACAUACUUUCUAGCCAAUACUCUAUACUUUUUAAAUAUCUCAUAAAUUGUAAGGCAGAGUAGUGAAAGUAUUUCAAACAUAUUGUUCAAAAAAUUAUUUUCAUAUUUGCUGUCGUGCUUAUUAACAUUUAAAUUUCACGUUUAAAAAGUUUUGUUUGUUAACUAAACUAGUAAAAUAACAGUAGCGACAAAUAUUACUUUUCCUUUGAAUUCACUGUGUAUCGUACGGCGUACCUGACACAGGUCGCACCGUUUAGAUCCCAUGCAACCUGCUAAUUGCUAGCUAGUGAUUAGCUUCAUUAAUUUUUCGUGAUAACAUCUGGCAAAGACAAAGAAAUAACUUAUAACUUUUAUUUGUUAUUAUCCAUGAUAAAGCGAUAAAAUAUUGGAAGCCAUUUUGUAAAACGUGGAAGUAAAGUGCUGAUAUCAUUAUCUAUAUACCUAUAUGGUAUCUCUAAACGUAAUUUUGUUGUUAAUGGAUUUUUGUAAAACUGUCAAAAAAAAAGAUUAUUACGGUGCCGAGGACCAAAACUUGUGAAAUCUAGUUUUGUGUCUAAUGCUUUCUUAACUAUCGGCAAAUGACUCGCGUUUUUUAGAUUAAUUUAUUAUACUAUCACGAACUGAAAUCCAUUUAGCUUGAAUACCAUUAGGCGUAUUGAGUAUUGAUUGUAUUUUAUUAUUAGUAAAUUAGUUUAAUUAAACCUUCUAAAUCACAAGGCAUUGAAAGAAAA
Molecule: long non-coding RNA, 1482 nt
Organism: Melitaea cinxia (Glanville fritillary)
Lineage: Eukaryota; Metazoa; Arthropoda; Insecta; Lepidoptera; Nymphalidae
Exons: 2
Source: RefSeq, a predicted model, not a curated record